RNAcentral lists this transfer RNA (75 nucleotides) under Hyphomicrobiaceae bacterium. RNAcentral's name for it is "tRNA-Met". It matches the Rfam family "tRNA". From Rfam's summary of the family: Transfer RNA (tRNA) molecules are approximately 80 nucleotides in length. Their secondary structure includes four short double-helical elements and three loops (D, anti-codon, and T loops). The record is from RNAcentral. Lineage: Bacteria; Pseudomonadati; Pseudomonadota; Alphaproteobacteria; Hyphomicrobiales; Hyphomicrobiaceae.
CGCGGGGUAGUUCAGUGGCCGAACACCGGUUUCAUAAUCCGGCCGACGUGAGUUCAAUUCUCACCCCCGCAACCA